Molecule: ribosomal RNA, 1555 nt
Filed under: Bacillus velezensis
Lineage: Bacteria; Bacillati; Bacillota; Bacilli; Caryophanales; Bacillaceae
Description: bacterial SSU rRNA
Rfam family: Bacterial small subunit ribosomal RNA
Source: RNAcentral
UUUAUCGGAGAGUUUGAUCCUGGCUCAGGACGAACGCUGGCGGCGUGCCUAAUACAUGCAAGUCGAGCGGACAGAGGGGAGCUUGCUCCCUGAUGUUAGCGGCGGACGGGUGAGUAACGCGUGGGUAACCUGCCUGUAAGACUGGGAUAACUCCGGGAAACCGGGGCUAAUACCGGAUGGUUGUCUGAAUCGCAUGGUUCAGACAUAAAAGGUGGCUUCGGCUACCACAUACAGAUGAACCCGCGGCGCAAUAGCUAGUUGGUGAGGUAACGGCUCACCAAGCCGACGAUGCGUAGCCGACCUGAGAGGGUGAUCGGCCACACUGGGACUGAGACACGGCCCAGACUCCUACGGGAGGCAGCAGUAGGGAAUCUUCCGCAAUGGACGAAAGUCUGACGGAGCAACGCCGCGUGAGUGAUGAAGGUUUUCGGAUCGUACAGAUCUGUUGUUAGGGAAGAACAAGUGCCGUUCAAAUAGGGCGGCACCUUGCCGGUACCUAACCAGAAAGCCACGGCUAACUACGUGCCAGCAGCCGCGGUAAUACGUAGGUGGCAAGCGUUGUCCGGAAUUAUUGGGCGUACAGGGCUCGCAGGCGGUUUCUUAAGUCUGAUGUGAAAGCCCCCGGCUCAACCGGGGAGGGUCAUUGGAAACUGGGGAACUUGAGUGCAGAAGAGGCGAGUGGAAUUCCACGUGUAGAGGUGAAAUGCGUAGAGAUGUGGAGGAACACCAGUGGCGAAGGCGACUCUCUGGUCUGUAACUGACGCUGAGGAGCGAAAGCGUGGGGAGCGAACAGGAUUAGAUACCCUGGUAGUCCACGCCGUAAACGAUGAGUGCUAAGUGUUAGGGGGUUUCCGCCCCUUAGUGCUGCAGCUAACGCAUUAAGCACUCCGCCUGGGGAGUCCGGUCGCAAGACUGCAACUCAAAGGAAUUGACGGGGGCCCGCACAAGCGGUGGAGCAUGGGGUUUAAUUCGCAGCAACGCGAAGAACCUUACCAGGGCUUGACAUCCUCUGACAAUCCUAGAGAUAGGACGUCCCCUUCGGGGGUAGAGUGACAGGUGGUGCAUGGUUGUCGUCAGCUCGUGUCGUGAGAUGUUGGGUUAAGUCCCGCAACGAGCGCAACCCUUGAUCUGAGUUGCCAGCAUUCAGUUGGGCACUCUAAGGUGACUGCCGGUGACAAACCGGAGGAAGGUGGGGAUGACGUCAAACCAUCAUGCCCCUUAUGACCUGGGCUACACACGUGCUACAAUGGACAGAACAAAGGGCAGCGAAACCGCGAGGUUAAGCCACUCCCACAAAUCUGUUCUCAGUUCGGAUCGCAGUCUGCAACUCGACUGCGUGAAGCUGGAAUCGCUAGUAAUCGCGGAGCAGCAUGCCGCGGUGAAUACGUUCCCGGGCCUUGUACACACCGCCCGUCACGCCACGAGAGUUUGUAACGCCCGAAGUCGGUGAGGUAACCUUUAUGGAGCCAGCCGCCGAAGGUGGGACAGAUGCUUGGGGUGAAGUCGUAACAAGGUAGCCGUAUCGGAAGGUGCGGCUGGAUCACCUCCUUUCUAA